This 460-nucleotide ribosomal RNA is filed under the name uncultured bacterium. RNAcentral describes it as "partial 16S ribosomal RNA". It matches the Rfam family "Bacterial small subunit ribosomal RNA", at positions 338 to 795 of the family's 1533-position model. The record is from RNAcentral.
CCUACGGGAGGCAGCAGUGAGGAAUAUUGGUCAAUGGGCGCGAGCUUGAACCAGCCAAGUAGCGUGCAGGAUGACGGCCCUACGGGUUGUAAACUGCUUUUAUACGGGAAUAACGCGCCUUACGUGUGGGGCUUUGCAUGUACCGUAUGAAUAAGGACCGGCUAAUUCCGUGCCAGCAGCCGCGGUAAUACGGAAGGUCCGGGCGUUAUCCGGAUUUAUUGGGUUUAAAGGGAGCGUAGGCCGCAUGUCAAGCGUGCGGUGAAAUUUCCGGGCCCAACCCGGGCCUUGCAGCGCGAACUGGCGUGCUUGAGUCCGCGGAAAGCAGGCGGAAUGCGUGGUGUAGCGGUGAAAUGCUGAGAUAUGACGAAGAACCCCGAUUGCGAAGGCAGCUUGCUGCAGCGGAACUGACGCUGAUGCUCGAAAGCGCGGGUAUCGAACAGGAUUAGAUACCCGUGUAGUC